UACGGGAGGCAGCAGUAAGGAAUAUUGGUCAAUGGACGCAAGUCUGAACCAGCCAUGCUGCGUGAAGGAUGAAGGUCCUCUGGAUUGUAAACUUCUUUUAUAUGGGACGAAACCUCUUAUUCUUAAGAGACUGACGGUACCAUAGGAAUAAGCACCGGCUAACUCCGUGCCAGCAGCCGCGGUAAUACGGAGGGUGCAAGCGUUAUCCGGAUUCACUGGGUUUAAAGGGAGCGUAGGAGGGCAGGUAAGUCAGUGGUGAAAUCUUCGAGCUUAACUCGGAAACUGCCGUUGAUACUAUCUGUCUUGAAUACCGUGGAGAUGAGCGGAAUAUGUCAUGUAGCGGUGAAAUGCUUAGAUAUGACAUAGAACACCAAUUGCGAAGGCAGCUCGUUACACGAAUAUUGACUCUGAGGCUCGAAAGCGUGGGGAUCAAACAGGAUUAGAUACCCUGGUAG
Molecule: ribosomal RNA, 455 nt
Filed under: uncultured Bacteroidota bacterium
Lineage: Bacteria; Pseudomonadati; Bacteroidota
Description: bacterial SSU rRNA
Rfam family: Bacterial small subunit ribosomal RNA
Source: RNAcentral